CGGGUGAGUAACACAUAUCCAACCUGCCGUCUACUCUUGGACAGCCUUCUGAAAGGAAGAAUUAAUACAAGAUGGCAUCAUGAGUCCGCAUGUUCACAUGAUUAAAGGUAUUCCGGUAGACGAUGGGGAUGCGUCCCAUUAGAUAGUAGGCGGGGUAACGGCCCACCUAGUCUUCGAUGGAUAGGGGUUCUGAGAGGAAGGUCCCCCACAUUGGAACUGAGACACGGUCCAA
Molecule: ribosomal RNA, 232 nt
Filed under: uncultured bacterium
Lineage: Bacteria
Description: partial 16S ribosomal RNA
Rfam family: Bacterial small subunit ribosomal RNA
Source: RNAcentral